Molecule: long non-coding RNA, 1679 nt
Organism: Pongo pygmaeus (Bornean orangutan)
Lineage: Eukaryota; Metazoa; Chordata; Mammalia; Primates; Hominidae
Exons: 3
Source: RefSeq, a predicted model, not a curated record
UCUCCACUGUACUUUAUUCACUCGUCUUGAUACCUUUUUCCUUAACAGCAAUUGCUACAAUGUGCUGCUCCAAAUGGUCCAGCACUAAGUAAAAACUUCACCUGGUUUGUUUCAUACAGGAGGAAAAGGAAAACAGAAAUUUAGCGUUCUGUUAAAAGCACGUGUCUAACAAAACUAUUCCUAAAGGUUGGAAAUUCCACUUUACAAUGGCGGUAGCUCUAUUUCAUUGCAUCCUCCAGGCAAUGUACAGCGGGUAAGACUGAGGCGUUCCGCUUUCAGGAAUUAAGAGUCCAACGGCGGCCAGAUGUGGGCAACAAACUGCAGGUCAGGGUCAGACUGCAACAUGGGAAACGUGCACACGCGCAUGAAACCGGGUGUCUCCUAGGCUCAUCGGGUCUAACAUCCUUUCAUUUUUUUUUUGAGACGGAAACUCGCUCUGUCGCCCAGGCUGGAAUGCAGUGGCGCGAUCUCAGCUCACCAUAACUUCUGCCUCCCGGGCUCAAGAGAUUCUCCCACCUCAACCUCCCGAGUAGCCGGGACUACAGGCGUUCACCACCACACCAGGCUAAUUUUUGUAUUUUUAGUAGAGACGGGGUUUCGCCAUGUUGGCCAGGCUGGUCUCCAACUCCUAACCUCAAGUGAUCCGCCCGCCUCGGCCUUCCAAAGUGCUGGGAUCACAGACGUGAGCCACCGCGUUCGGCCGCUUUUUCUAAUAUUGUCUAAAAUAAGUAUCCUAAACAGGAAAUACCAAAAUAAUCGCCCUCGCUUUCGUGACCUACACCGGUAAGCGUCAGCAUCUUUCGCUAUGCGAGAAUCUUUUGGCUCUCGUAUGUGCGCAUGCGUCUGGAUCCGGAGGCAGGUGACCCGCUCAGACGUGGACCAUGGGCGGGGGAGGGGGGAAAGGAGCCGCGGAGCGGGUGGUAGACAGAACAGGUGGAGCCGCGGCGGGGCUAGGCGGGGCGGCGAGUGAAACAGCGUAGGCUCCGCCUCUCGCGGUGCUUCCCCCGGAAUAGCGUCAUCAGUUCUAUAAGAGAGCGUGUGCCGAAAGCCUCGGCCUUUCACAUUCGGGAAGCGUCGGGAUUAGGUGAAAGUACGCAGUUGUCUUUCGUAAGUUAAAAUGAUAAUUGAGCCGAAACUUACUGCCUUACCUAAAAGGCAGCGCAGUCAGGAUAUUGGUAGGUCGGGGGCGGCUUUGGAAACCCUUAAGUUUACAAGCAUGCGCGGACUUGAGUGCUCAUUAGGUCGCCGGACGGCCACAUGCAGCCCUGGACCCUGAACCCCGGCGUGCGUGGGCCGUGGGCCCUCGGGGAGAGGUUCCGUGCAGUCGGGGACUCCGGGGAAGCCUGUUUCGCCGUCUGUGUCAUGUGGCCAUCUUGAGUCUACUCUGUCGCUCUUGUGCCAUAGCACCCCGAGAACCGUCAGUUUGAGCCAGAUGGAAGCUGAGCUGAACAUAUUACGAUGGAUGAUGGAAACAUAAGACUGUCAAGAAAUCCAAAGUGGUAAUGGGCGAAGUUUAUUCAGCAUCCGGCAAUGGACUUAUCGUAGCUGGGGAAACAGGUGUUCCGAAUAAUAUCCUGGAAGUUAUCAGGACACCUAUUUUAAAUAUAAGCCUGAAUUUUUUAAAGUAAUAUUUAAGGUGGUCCGUGAUAAUUAAAUAAAAUGCUUAAUUCAUGUGGCUA